GCCGGGCGUGGUGGCUCACGCCUGUAAUCCUACCACUUUAGGAGGCCGAGGUGGGUGGAUCACCUGAGGUCAGGAGUUCAAGACCAGCCUGGCCAACAUGGUGAAACCCUGUCUCUA
RNAcentral lists this non-coding RNA (117 nucleotides) under Papio anubis (olive baboon). Lineage: Eukaryota; Metazoa; Chordata; Mammalia; Primates; Cercopithecidae. The record is from Rfam by way of RNAcentral. RNAcentral also lists the same sequence under 1 other name.